UUAAGUUCAGCGGGUAUUCCUACCUGAUCCGAGGUCAACCUUGGUAUCGGGGCGUUUUACGGCUGGCAGCCCGCAAGACGUCCUGGGCGAGAAAGAAAUCUACUGCGCCCGGAGUGCUAGCGGACACCGCCACUGUCUUUCGGGGCCUACGGUCAACCGUAGAUGCCCCAACGCCGGGCCAGCUAGGGGCCUGAGGGGUU
This 200-nucleotide unclassified non-coding RNA is filed under the name Sordariales sp. RNAcentral's name for it is "partial internal transcribed spacer 2". The record is from RNAcentral. Lineage: Eukaryota; Fungi; Ascomycota; Sordariomycetes; Sordariales.